Molecule: ribosomal RNA, 253 nt
Filed under: uncultured bacterium
Lineage: Bacteria
Description: partial 16S ribosomal RNA
Rfam family: Bacterial small subunit ribosomal RNA
Source: RNAcentral
UACGUAGGGUGCGAGCGUUGUCCGGAAUUAUUGGGCGUAAAGGGCUCGUAGGCGGUUUGUCGCGUCGGGAGUGAAAACUCAGGGCUUAACCCUGAGCCUGCUUCCGAUACGGGCAGACUAGAGGUAUGCAGGGGAGAACGGAAUUCCCGGUGUAGCGGUGAAAUGCGCAGAUAUCGGGAAGAACACCUAUGGCGAAGGCAGCUCUCUGGGACGGUACUGACGCUGAGACGCGAAAGCGUGGGGAGCGAACAGG